AACAUAAUUGUUUAAAUACUGUGUGCAAUUAUGUAUUACGAACGUACAAAAAGCUUAGUUAAUGAUUAACUCGGUAAGUCGGGACAGACUCGACCUAACACCCCGGAACUUAGACAUAAACAGGAAAUUGAUACAAAUCUCCAGAUUAUCUUCACUCGUUUAUCCCUGAACUCUGGUCCCCGCAUCCCCUCGGAACUCACCUGUUUCAGCUGAUGGACACAGGUGUCAGCAUCACGAAUCCAUGCAGAGGAGGCGAUGCCCGCUCUCAUUAUAAGCACCGCCGCUGCCGCCAGCGACCUGCUCCACGCCGACGGAGCGGUGAGUGAGGACUUAAAUCCGUCUCUCCGCCGGAGCUGAUGGGACACACUGCGGCGUGUGAAGAAGGGCUGUACUGCAGAACUCACACAGGUCUCAGUCCCACCCCCCCCACCCACCCACCCACAUUAGGGGGGUACCUGCAACAGGGCAAGGAACGUUUGGCAAAGAACCGAAACUAUUGACAGAGAAGAAGCUGUCCGUCAAAAGAACAUGGACCCAAAGUUAGGGUCUCAGUGUUUGAAGUCCACAUUGAAAGUGCAUCACAGAUGUGCUGGAGCUUCGGUGUACAUUCGGCUGUCUCCUCAUGUUUACACAGAUAUGAGCCCUUCGGUUAAAUUAUUAAUUCGUUCUCAUUGCCAGGUCAGAAUUCCACGUGAAAGUGCUUUUCAUUGAAAGCAGACAUUCGGAUGAAAAGCCGAAAGAACUUAUUAUCUGUCUCCGUACUCUUUUAAGCCUCAAGUGAAUAAUGGUAAAAAAUUUCAGUGUAAUGAUGUUCCCGUAUCUUUAAAUUACAUUUCCACUGA
Anguilla rostrata (American eel) is the source of this 842-nucleotide long non-coding RNA. RefSeq lists it as uncharacterized. The transcript has 2 exons. The record is from RefSeq and is a predicted model, not a curated record. NCBI's taxonomy places the organism in Eukaryota, Metazoa, Chordata, Actinopteri, Anguilliformes, Anguillidae.